GACGUAGGGUCCCAGCGUUGUCCGGAUUUACUGGGCGUAAAGAGCACGUAGGCGGCUUGUUAAGUGUGAAGUGAAAUCUCCAGAGCUCAACUCGGAAACCGCUUCGCAUACUGGCAAGCUAGAGGAAUGCAGAGGUAAGUGGAAUUCCUGGUGUAGCGGUGAAAUGCAUAGAUAUCAGGAGGAACACCCAUGGCGAAGGCAGCUUACUGGGCAUUAUCUGACGCUGAGGUGCGAAAGCGUGGGGAGCAAACAGG
This 254-nucleotide ribosomal RNA is filed under the name uncultured bacterium. RNAcentral's name for it is "partial 16S ribosomal RNA". It matches the Rfam family "Bacterial small subunit ribosomal RNA", at positions 524 to 776 of the family's 1533-position model. The record is from RNAcentral.